This 1516-nucleotide ribosomal RNA is filed under the name Morganella morganii. Its description in RNAcentral is "partial 23S ribosomal RNA". It matches the Rfam family "Bacterial large subunit ribosomal RNA", at positions 1 to 1559 of the family's 2925-position model. The record is from RNAcentral. Lineage: Bacteria; Pseudomonadati; Pseudomonadota; Gammaproteobacteria; Enterobacterales; Morganellaceae.
GGUUAAGCGAAUAAGCGUACACGGUGGAUGCCUAGGCAGUCAGAGGCGAUGAAGGACGUGCUAAUCUGCGAUAAGCGCCGGUAAGGUGAUAUGAACCGUUAUAACCGGCGAUUUCCGAAUGGGGAAACCCAGUGCAAUUCGUUGCACUAUCAUUACCUGAAUACAUAGGGUAAUGAAGCGAACCGGGAGAACUGAAACAUCUAAGUACCCCGAGGAAAAGAAAUCAAACGAGAUUCCCCCAGUAGCGGCGAGCGAACGGGGAGCAGCCCAGAACCUUAAUCACUAUCAGCAUCAGGAGAACAGUCUGGAAAGGCUGGCCGCAGCAGGUGAUAGCCCUGUAUCCGAAGGUGUUGGUAGUGUGAGUUCGAUGAGUAAGGCGGGACACGUGUUAUCCUGUCUGAAUAUGGGGGGACCAUCCUCCAAGGCUAAAUACUCCUGACUGACCGAUAGUGAACCAGUACCGUGAGGGAAAGGCGAAAAGAACCCCGGCGAGGGGAGUGAAAAAGAACCUGAAACCGUGUACGUACAAGCAGUGGGAGCACCCUUCGGGGUGUGACUGCGUACCUUUUGUAUAAUGGGUCAGCGACUUAUAUUCUGUAGCAAGGUUAACCGGAUAGGGGAGCCGCAGGGAAACCGAGUCUUAACUGGGCGAAUUAGUUGCAGGGUAUAGACCCGAAACCCGGUGAUCUAGCCAUGGGCAGGUUGAAGGUUGGGUAACACUAACUGGAGGACCGAACCGACUAAUGUUGAAAAAUUAGCGGAUGACUUGUGGCUGGGGGUGAAAGGCCAAUCAAACCGGGAGAUAGCUGGUUCUCCCCGAAAGCUAUUUAGGUAGCGCCUCGUGAAUUCAUCUCCGGGGGUAGAGCACUGUUUCGGCUAGGGGGUCAUCCCGACUUACCAACCCGAUGCAAACUGCGAAUACCGGAGAAUGUUAUCACGGGAGACACACGGCGGGUGCUAACGUUCGUCGUGAAGAGGGAAACAACCCAGACCGCCGGCUAAGGUCCCAAAGUCAUAAUUAAGUGGGAAACGAAGUGGGAAGGCUCAGACAGCCAGGAUGUUGGCUUAGAAGCAGCCAUCAUUUAAAGAAAGCGUAAUAGCUCACUGGUCGAGUCGGCCUGCGCGGAAGAUGUAACGGGGCUAAAUUAUGCACCGAAGCCGCGGCAGCGAUAUGUAAAUAUUGUUGGGUAGGGGAGCGUUCUGUAAGCCUGUGAAGGUGACCUGUGAGGGUUGCUGGAGGUAUCAGAAGUGCGAAUGCUGACAUAAGUAACGAUAAUGCGGGUGAAAAACCCGCACGCCGGAAGACCAAGGGUUCCUGUCCAACGUUAAUCGGGGCAGGGUGAGUCGACCCCUAAGGCGAGGCUGAAAAGCGUAGUCGAUGGGCAACGGGUUAAUAUUCCCGUACUGGUGGUAACUGCGAAGGGGGGACGGAGAAAGCUAAAUCAUCCGGGCGACGGUUGUCCCGGUUUAAGCGUGCAGGUGGACUGACCAGGCAAAUCCGGUCGGUUGUUAACAC